This 274-nucleotide ribosomal RNA is filed under the name uncultured bacterium. Its description in RNAcentral is "partial 16S ribosomal RNA". It matches the Rfam family "Bacterial small subunit ribosomal RNA", at positions 523 to 796 of the family's 1533-position model. The record is from RNAcentral.
AUACGGAGGGUACAAGCGUUAAUCGGAAUUACUGGGCGUAAAGCGCGCGUAGGCGGCUUAUCAAGUUAGGCGUGAAAGGCCUGGGCUCAACCCGGGAACUGCGCUUAAUACUGGUAGACUUGAGUCCGGGAGAGGGUGGCGGAAUUCCCAGUGUAGAGGUGAAAUUCGUAGAUAUUGGGAAGAACACCAGUGGCGAAGGCGGCCACCUGGCCCGGUACUGACGCUGAGGUGCGAAAGCGUGGGGAGCAAACAGGAUUAGAUACCCCGGUAGUCC